CACAGCUUGGCAUGUUCAAUACAAGCCUGAAGGGCGUGCUUGUGUGACAAAGUAGAGUUAACAGGACGACAAAUGAGCAGGUCACUGAGCAUGACGAUCAAAUCCAAGUCCUUCUCCGACAACAUAUCCAUCACAUCCGUCGACUCAUCCUCCUGCAUACAAUCAUAGUUCAAACAACAAACCUUCUCAUGCAUAGCCCUUUUCCACAUAGUUGAAACAAAGUCAAUUUUCCCCCAAUUCGCAUGA
RNAcentral lists this long non-coding RNA (246 nucleotides) under Solanum pimpinellifolium. RNAcentral describes it as "long non-coding RNA (SPIM_LNC000238)". The record is from RNAcentral. Lineage: Eukaryota; Viridiplantae; Streptophyta; Magnoliopsida; Solanales; Solanaceae.